Molecule: ribosomal RNA, 274 nt
Filed under: uncultured bacterium
Lineage: Bacteria
Description: partial 16S ribosomal RNA
Rfam family: Bacterial small subunit ribosomal RNA
Source: RNAcentral
AUACGGAGGGGGUUAGCGUUGUUCGGAAUUACUGGGCGUAAAGCGUACGUAGGCGGACUGGAAAGUUGGGGGUGAAUGCCUGGGGCUCAACCCCGGAACUGCCUCCAAAACUUCCAAUCUAGAGAUCGAGAGAGGUGGGUGGAAUUCCAAGUGUAGAGGUGAAAUUCGUAGAUAUUUGGAGGAACACCAGUGGCGAAGGCGGCUCACUGGCUCGAUACUGACGCUGAGGUACGAAAGCGUGGGGAGCAAACAGGAUUAGAAACCCUAGUAGUCC